GGAAGUGGGCGCAGCCUGAGCAGCCUGCCGCGUGUGUGAAGAAGGCCUUCGGGUUGUAAAGCACUUUCAGCGAGGAGGAAGGGUUCAGUGUUAAUAGCACUCUUCAUUGACGUUACUCGCAGAAGAAGCACCGGCUAACUCCGUGCCAGCAGCCGCGGUAAUACGGAGGGUGCAAGCGUUAAUCGGAAUUACUGGGCGUAAAGCGCACGCAGGCGGUUUGUUAAGUCAGAUGUGAAAUCCCCGCGCUUAACGUGGGAACUGCAUUUGAAACUGGCAAGCUAGAGUCUUGUAGAGGGGGGUAGAAUUCCAGGUGUAGCGGUGAAAUGCGUAGAGAUCUGGAGGAAUACCGGUGGCGAAGGCGGCCCCCUGGACAAAGACUGACGCUCAGGUGCGAAA
This 396-nucleotide ribosomal RNA is filed under the name uncultured bacterium. RNAcentral's name for it is "bacterial SSU rRNA". It matches the Rfam family "Bacterial small subunit ribosomal RNA", at positions 367 to 758 of the family's 1533-position model. The record is from RNAcentral.